GCCUCCAUUUAGAACUAGAAAGAUAAUCAAAUUGUAUCUAGAAAAUAGGUAGUGUAGUUUAGCGAGAAAUUGGGAAAAAAAAGAUGAUUGAGACCUUCAGCGCAUCGCAAGGGACACGCAUCUGCUUAAGUGGCAAGCUGCUAUAUUCCCGUAUCCAUGGCGGUGACGCAAAAUGCGGAUUACAAUAUAGAGAAGGAGAAUUGGCGUCUCAGUUGCCUUAGCAAUUUUUCGGCGAAAGGUGUGCGCCUGACCACCCUUGGAGCAUUGUAGCUCCGCCACUGGUCCAGCCUACCAAGCACCACUAGCUUCUUCACUGAAGGACCCUGUAGAGUGCAAGCAGCCUUGGUAAACUGUACAAUAUCAGCAUCAUGACACAACAACUUAUAAACACUAAUAAGAUUGUAUUGGAAACUAGGAAUAUAAAGCACACCGUGAAUAUUAAGAUCAGGAAAUAAGGAUAGAGAACCAAUAUUAGUGACUUUGACUUUAUAUCCAUUAGGAAGGAAAACUAGGUAAGGAACAAGUAAGGUUUGUAUGUUGAAAAAUAGGCUUUUAAUGGAAUUCAUAUGAUCAGAUGCUCCUGAAUCUAUUAUCCAAACUAUUCCAUCUACUCUACUCAACAUAGAGGCUCCAUAGGAGGGGAAGAAGUAAUUUGGGCCUGCUGCUGAAGUAACAUCAUCAGUUGGGAAUACUGGUCCUUGGUAAGGCCAGGCACUGCAGAAGUACUCUAAGACUUAGACACAUCAGCACCACACUCUAUAGUAAAAAUACCAAGCAUGGUGUUGGAUUCAAGCUCAACAUGAGCAGUUAGGCCCCAAAUUCUUUGCAGGUCUGAAAUUGGGGGGACAACCAUACAACUUAUAACACCUGUCAAUACAGUGACCGGGAUUGUUUACAAUAUUUUCAUACCACAGAAGACCUAAUCGACUCAAAGGAAACCUUAGAAGAGAAGGUAGGCUUUGACACAACAAUAGUGUUGGAAGUUGAUGAAGAGUUCAAUACACCAAAAGUGAAAGAAGCAUAAUUAUAAGGAAACUACGUCCCAGUAGACUGUACCAACAGAAGGAAGAUGCUUCUCAUCAAACAAAAGAAUAUUGUAGACUGUACCAAAUUUCAUCAUUAAAAUGUUACUCCUGGUCUAAACAUAAGUUUCAUUCAAACCUAUAAGAAAUUGAUAAGCUCUUUGUUCCUCAUCCUCAACUGAUUUGGCCCCACAAGUACAAACCCUUGCCCUACCAGUAGAGAUGAGGCAAUUUUAUCCCACAACUAUUUUAUUUUAUUGAAAGAAGAUGCUAUACCGAGUGACCCUUGAGAGAUAUGUGCCAGUUCCCUUUUCAACUCAAAAACUCUGGAACCAUCGGCCUUAUCAUAUCUCUCUUCUAAUUCACUCCAUAUGUUUUUAGCAAAUUCAGAAUACUCUACACUUCGAGCAAUUUCUUUAGACAAUGAAUUUAUUAACUAAGAUAUUACGAGAUCAUUGCAUCCCUGCUAUUGUCUGGCUAAGGGUGACCCAUAAGGAGGUCUCCCAGUUGUACCAGUUAUGAAGUUAGUUUUGUUUCUGAUAGACAAAGCAACUAAGACAGUGCGUCUCCAACUACCAUAACAGGUUCCAUCAAAAGUAGUGGAGACCAGAUAGGUCCCAAGCACAUCAAAAGGAUGAACAUAUAAGGGGUGACAGGGGUGGGUAUAAUCUUCCUCAUGAAACACAAUACGUGAACUAGUGGAAGAUACAUGGAUUGACUGAGUGGGAUCAGAAUUACCAUUUGUCAUACUGACAACAAAAUAACAAUCAGCUAAGAUAAUGAAAUCAACAACAAAAUAUCACCAAAAUAAGGGAGAAGAGAACAUAUAUACCAUCCUCUUUCGCAACAGGAAAGAGAACGACCUUCGAUGAUAAGAAAAAUGAAGCUCAAAAUCAUAGCUCGAAAAUAGUCUAAUGCUUGAAGAAUAUCGACAAAUUCUUCACAUUAGGGACCGAAAAACUCCAUCGCACAGAUAAACCCACAGGAAACAGAGAAAUCAAUCAAAAAACAAACCCACCGAAUCGACGGAAACAGUCGAACUUCAAAAACUCCGAUGAAAGACGUUGAGGGUACAAUUGAUUGGAAGCGCAACAUUAGACGAGCACAGAUCCGUGCUCUGAUACCAUGUUAACAACCAUCAUUUUCAUAGUUUCGACGACGAAGAAUUUAGGGUUAGACAAAGGUAAGAGAGAAAGUUCGAGAUAUUUCUAAUAGAAUAAGCAAAAUCGAAUUGU
RNAcentral lists this long non-coding RNA (2257 nucleotides) under Nicotiana tabacum (common tobacco). Its description in RNAcentral is "long non-coding RNA (NTAB_LNC014886)". The record is from RNAcentral. Lineage: Eukaryota; Viridiplantae; Streptophyta; Magnoliopsida; Solanales; Solanaceae.